CGAGUGAAGCGGCAAGAGCUCAAAUUUGAAAGCUGGCUCCUUCGGGGUCCGCAUUGUAAUUUGCAGAGGAUGCUUCGGGAGUGGCCCCCAUCUAAGUGCCCUGGAACGGGCCGUCAUAGAGGGUGAGAAUCCCGUCUGGGAUGGGGUGUCCACGCCCGUGUGAAGCUCCUUCGACGAGUCGAGUUGUUUGGGAAUGCAGCUCUAAAUGGGUGGUAAAUUUCAUCUAAAGCUAAAUACUGGCCGGAGACCGAUAGCGCACAAGUAGAGUGAUCGAAAGAUGAAAAGCACUUUGAAAAGAGAGUUAAACAGCACGUGAAAUUGUUGAAAGGGAAGCGCUUGCGACCAGACUCGCCCACGGGGUUCAGCCGGCAUUCGUGCCGGUGUACUUCCCCGCGGGCGGGCCAGCGUCGGUUUGGGCGGCCGGUCAAAGGCCCUCGGAAUGUAACGCCCCCCGGGGCGUCUUAUAGCCGAGGGUGCCAUGCGGCCAGCCCGGACCGAGGAACGCGCUUCGGCUCGGACGCUGGCAUAAUGGUCGUAAGCGACCCGUCUUGAAACACGGACCAAGGAGUCUAACAUCUACGCGAGUGUUCGGGUGUCAAACCCGUGCGCGCAGUGAAAGCGAACGGAGGUGGGAACCCCUCGGGGUGCACCAUCGACCGAUCCUGAUGUCUUCGGAUGGAUUUGAGUAAGAGCGUAGCUGUUGGGACCCGAAAGAUGGUGAACUAUGCCUGAAUAGGGCGAAGCCAGAGGAAACUCUGG
Molecule: ribosomal RNA, 759 nt
Filed under: Penicillium sp. 794_1_CY01
Lineage: Eukaryota; Fungi; Ascomycota; Eurotiomycetes; Eurotiales; Aspergillaceae
Description: eukaryotic LSU rRNA
Rfam family: Eukaryotic large subunit ribosomal RNA
Source: RNAcentral